AUGUGCGCCGAGGCUCUCGCUCUGCUCCGGCAGCAGGAGCCAUGGUUCGUCUCGCUCGCCAUCCUCGGCGCCCUCUACGUCGCAGCCGUCGCGUACCGCCUCCUCCACACGUCCGGCCUCGCGCUCUGCCUGCGCGGGCCCAAGGACCUACGCCGCCGCUACGGGGCGUGGGCCGUCGUCACCGGCCCGACGUCCGGCAUCGGCCGCUCCAUGGCCCUCGAGCUCGCGCGGCGCGGCCUCAACCUCGUCCUUGUCGGCCGCGACCCCGGCGCGCUCCAGGACAUCGCCGGAACCGCCUCCGACACCCACGGCGUGCUGACCAAGACCGUGCAGUUCGACUUCUCGCUCGUCUCCACGCCUCAAGGGGAGGAGGCGAUGGGGCGGCUCCGGCAGGCGGUGGAGCGGCUGGAGGUGGGCGUGCUGGUGAACAACGCCGGCGUGGCGACGCCGCAUGCGACGUACCUGCACGAGGCCGACGCAGAGGCGUGGGUGAGAAUGAUACGGGUGAACCUGUGGGCCGUGACGGAGGUGACGGCGGCCGUGCUUCCCGGCAUGGUGGAGCGCGGGAGGGGCGCCGUCGUCAACAUCGGCUCAGGCGCGGCGGAGGCGCUGCCCUCCUACCCGCUCUACUCCGUCUACGCCGCCACCAAGCGGUACGUUUCCCAGUUCUCCCGCAGCCUCUGCGUUGAGUACAGGGGCAAAGGAAUCGACGUGCAGUGCCAGGCCCCGCUGUACGUGGACACGAAGAUGGUGACCAACAUGGUGACGCGGGGAGGCCUCCUGUCGCGGCUGAUCAUGCCGACGUCGGACGCUUACGCCGGCGCGGCCGCUCGCUGGAUCGGGCACCGCCGCCCGGUCUGCAUGCCCAACCUCGGCCACCGGCUGCAGUGGUGCCUCUGCCACUUCGUCCCGGACCGUGCCCUCGCCGCGCACCGCCUCCGCGAGAACCUUCGGCAGCGGGCCGUCUUCCAGCUGCUCAGGUCAUCAUCAGGCGAGGGAAUCGGUGGACGUCGUUAG
RNAcentral lists this ribosomal RNA (1017 nucleotides) under Triticum aestivum (bread wheat). Its description in RNAcentral is "partial small subunit ribosomal RNA". The record is from RNAcentral. Lineage: Eukaryota; Viridiplantae; Streptophyta; Magnoliopsida; Poales; Poaceae.